RNAcentral lists this ribosomal RNA (617 nucleotides) under uncultured fungus. RNAcentral describes it as "eukaryotic LSU rRNA". The stretch from base 184 to 337 matches the Rfam family "5.8S ribosomal RNA". The record is from RNAcentral. Lineage: Eukaryota; Fungi.
ACCUUUGAAGGGUCGUGCACGCCUCGGUGCUUUCCCAUAUAAUCCAUCUCACCCCUUUUGUGCAUCACCGCGUGGGGGUCUCUUUUAGCUAGUUCUGAAGGGGGCUUUCACGUUUUUACAAACACACCCUUUUAAUGCAAUAUGUAGAAUGUCUUACUUUUUGUGAUCACACACAAUCAAUACAACUUUCAACAACGGAUCUCUUGGCUCUCGCAUCGAUGAAGAACGCAGCGAAAUGCGAUACGUAAUGUGAAUUGCAGAAUUCAGUGAAUCAUCGAAUCUUUGAACGCACCUUGCGCCCUUUGGCAUUCCGAAGGGCACACCCGUUUGAGUGUCGUGAUAUCCUCAAACCUUCUUGGUUUCUUGACUGAGAAGGCUUUGGACUUUGGAGGCUUUUGCUGGACCUUUGCUUGUUGAAGCCAGCUCCUCUUAAAUGAAUUAGUGGGGUCUGCUUUGCUGAUCCUUGACGUGAUAAGAUGCUUCUACGUCUUGGGUUUAGCACUGUUUGCUCUAGAUCCUGCUUCUAACCGUCUCAUAGAAGACAAAUGGUCGACUUGACCCACAAACCUUGACCUCAAAUCGGGUGAGACUACCCGCUGAACUUAAGCAUAUCAAUA